GACGAACGCUGGCGGCGUGCCUAAUACAUGCAAGUCGAGCGAAGUUUUUCUGGUGCUUGCACUAGAAAGACUUAGCGGCGCACGGGUGAGUAACACGUAAAGAACCUGCCUCAUAGACUGGGACAACUAUUGGAAACGAUAGCUAAUACCGGAUAACAGUAUUUCUCGCAUGAGAGAUAUUUAAAAGUUGGUUAUGCUAACACUAUGAGAUGGCUUUGCGGUGCAUUAGCUAGUUGGUGGGGUAAAGGCCCACCAAGGCGACGAUGCAUAGCCGACCUGAGAGGGUGAUCGGCCACACUGGGACUGAGACACGGCCCAGACUCCUACGGGAGGCAGCAGUAGGGAAUCUUCCGCAAUGGGCGAAAGCCUGACGGAGCAACGCCGCGUGAGUGAAGAAGGAUUUCGGUUCGUAAAGCUCUGUUGUUAGGGAAGAAUGGAUAUGUAGUAACUAUACAUGUAAGAGACGGUACCUAACCAGAAAGCCACGGCUAACUACGUG
This 499-nucleotide ribosomal RNA is filed under the name uncultured bacterium. RNAcentral's name for it is "partial 16S ribosomal RNA". It matches the Rfam family "Bacterial small subunit ribosomal RNA", at positions 28 to 507 of the family's 1533-position model. The record is from RNAcentral.